UACGGAGGGUGCAAGCGUUGUUCGGAAUCAUUGGGCGUAAAGCGCGUGUAGGCGGUUUCUUAAGUCUGGUGUGAAAGCCUGGGGCUCAACCCUAGAAGUGCACUGGAUACUGGGAGACUCGAGGACGAGAGAGGAGAGUGGAAUUCCUGGUGUAGGGGUGAAAUCCGUAGAUAUCAGGAGGAACAUCAGAGGCGAAGGCGGCUCUCUGGCUCGUAUCUGACGCUGAGACGCGAAAGCGUGGGGAGCAAACAGG
RNAcentral lists this ribosomal RNA (253 nucleotides) under uncultured bacterium. RNAcentral's name for it is "partial 16S ribosomal RNA". It matches the Rfam family "Bacterial small subunit ribosomal RNA", at positions 524 to 776 of the family's 1533-position model. The record is from RNAcentral.